RNAcentral lists this transfer RNA (65 nucleotides) under Marmota monax (woodchuck). RNAcentral describes it as "tRNA.Tyr". The record is from RNAcentral. Lineage: Eukaryota; Metazoa; Chordata; Mammalia; Rodentia; Sciuridae.
UGUAGCUCAGUGGCAGAGCACUUGCUUGUAGAAGCUAGAGGCCCUGGGUUCAAUCCCCACUACAA